CAUUGGCUACUGAACUUUUCAGGUGUGGAAAUACUAUCCAUUGGGAUUCUGUUUUUGAUGAGAUAGCGUUCAUACACCUACACAUUCAGACUUGGGUGUGCAUAGAUUGGAAUUGGCAUAUCCACUGUUUUUGGAACUGUGUAACUUGUCAAGUAAAAGAAACGGUUGAAUUAAUUAAGUAAUCUGAUUUCUUAGCUUAAUGCAGAAGCCCAAUAGUGUGAUUAGAACUGUGAUUUUGAGAUGUGGGAACCUAAAGAAUCCUGUGUUGGGUGUGUAUAGUUAGUCAAUCUGAACUACACAAGUGACUGUAGGAAAUUUUAGUUGCAACUCCAGACUAGUUUUCUUGGAUGAAUGCAAAUGUAGUUUGUGCAACCAUGUGUGUGACAAGAGAACUAGGGACCUAUUUCUGUGGUGC
This 415-nucleotide unclassified non-coding RNA is filed under the name Hevea brasiliensis (rubber tree). The record is from RNAcentral. Lineage: Eukaryota; Viridiplantae; Streptophyta; Magnoliopsida; Malpighiales; Euphorbiaceae.